CCGAAAAACAAAUAUUGGUAGUAGUUGCAGUAUAUUCUUCUCUACUUGGGAUACAUCCAAACAUCUUCAAAAGAAUUUCUGUACGCGAAAAAGCAUCUGAAAUCAAAUCAUCAAUCCUGAGAAAAUGAGUGGUUAGGGUUCGAAUUCAGAAUUCUCCAACCAGAAUCAAAGUUUCAUAAGCGCGAUAUAAUGCUAUGGUAAGGCAAAGAAAUGGAAUUUGGAGAAAUUGGUCGGUGUUUCUUCUCUAAAUCGAUGAACAGCUAUGGAUUUCCAGAAUGUUCUCCCAUAAUUGAUGAUAUUUCUCUGUUUUCUGGGGGGAAAAGACUGAAAUUUUAGGUGCCCAUUUUUAUUUGAAUGUGGAAGUUUAGGAGAAGUGCCUUUUUGUCCCGAAAGGGGGAUGUUCUUCUUCCUCACUUGAACAAUCGCUGUUAGAGUAAGCUGAGGAGUUUAAAUCUAUGUGGAAAUCGCUUGUUUCCUUCACUCAAGUUUGCUGUAAAUUGCUUUAAACGGCUAGAUUUUGCAUCUAUAAAGUGUACGUAGAAGCUGGACUUUUUGUGUUAGAUUUAUGAUAAGCUAAUUUUGAAUGGCGACCGUUCCUUCGGUGUCAAUUCAGUGGAUUCCUGAAGAUGACCUCUUGCUGAAGAAUGCUGUAGAGGCUGGUGCAUCAUUGGAAGCACUUGCCAAAGGUGCGGUACAAUUUUCUCGCAGAUAUACUUUACGUGAACUGCGAGAGAGAUGGUACUCUCUUCUUUAUGAUCCUGAUAUUUCAGCCCAAGCUUCUGCUCAUAUCUUUGAGCUUGAGAUCUCUGGCAUCAGUCCAGCAGCAUCAAAGUUAAAUAGAUCAGAGAACAACUUCACAGGAAAUAAAGAGGUUUCGCAGAAGAGGAAAUUAGAAAGCAUCCGUAGAAAAUAUUAUGCUAUGAGAAAAAGAUUCCGUAGUGAAUUUUUCAGUAACAGUGAUCUAGGGUUUUUUGAACCUAAUCCUCAUGAAUUCAGCGGGCCUGGUGCUGAUUUUCACAAACAGGUAAUGCUUGAUGGUAGUCCUUUGGGUCAAAACUGUAUGCUUGGAGAUAAUAUACCGGAUCAUUUAGGACUUCAAGAAGAAGAUUUAGAUAUUUUACGGCAUGCUUUUCCAGAAACAAUAAGGGAUAUUGCUGUGGCAUCUGGUGCAACUAAUGUAUCACAGGCUGGAUGCUCAAAUUCCUUUGAGGACAAUCGCCAAAAUAAAAUCAUGGGACGUUAUGGAUUUGAUGAGAAUGUCACUUCCUCAAUAACAGAAGGCAGGAAUUUGGAGGUCAAUAUCAAAAACAGAAAAAGUGCACUUACUCUCAGAAAAAAUUCAAUACAUGAAAAUCCUAAUGAUCCUCCUGUUGGCUUUGAAGGCAGACAACAAUUCAGUGCCCCUAAUUCAGAUGGCUUUUCGUCUUUUCAAACAAUGGUGUUUGCAUCUGACCAGCCUCACUUGCGCCACUGGAGAGGGACGCAAGAUGUUUCAGCUUCAGUACCUGUUAGCAUGAGCCUGCAAGAUACAGCUCAGGUCGCUGAAGAUAUGAUUCCCAAUGAUGUAGAGGGUAAAGAAAGUAGUUCAGCAGUGUAUGCAGGUGAAUUUGCGGAUCCUGAUUCACUUUUGAACCUUUCAAAUGAGGAUGAGAUUCUUUUGGUGGAUGAAGAUGAAAAGCAUGCAGAGAAUAAAUGUUGUAUUGAUGAUGUUAGUUCAGUCCUCGAGGGUUCUAACAAAGAUGGUCAGAGAAAUGAUGUUGCAAAAGUUGAACAGGAGACCGGAACAGUUCCGCAGGCUAGUUUGGCACCUGAUCCUACUGAAAACCCCGCGGCAUUAGUUGCUGUGUCCUCUGUUGAUGGAGACCAGCAAAUAAAUCAUAACCCAGAGGUUGUUGUGCCUUCAAAAUCCACUUUAGCUUCUGAUUUUACGGAACUUAGUAAUGGCAAAAUCUGCUGCACAUUGAACACUGAGGACACUGAAAUUCCAUGCAAUGAUGAUAUAUUCUUGCUUAUCCAUCCUUCCACGUCAUUUGGUUAUUCUGCAACACAACCAGUCACCACGGUUUCUAAAAAUGCAUGUGCUGCCGCUCACGAGAAGGAUAAUGCCCAAGCUGUAAACUUGUCAAUGAAAGCAAAAGAUUCCACCAAAGUUCUUGGGUGGCCCCAGAAGGUGGGAAUGCAUAGUUUGCCAGAAUCGCGGUCAGUGCACCCACUUGUUGGCGGUGCAUCCAAAACUGAAAUUCAUGACUCCACCCCUCAGGCCCUUCUUCCUGGAUUUGUCAACACAACCAUCGGAGAUUCCAGUAAAGGAAGAUCGCUUUAUGCAAUUGCAAAAGUAUCCAGUGAUAGUCUGGCUGAUAAAGAAGUUCAGGGAGUUGAUAUGAAGGUUAGAGACAACCCAACAACAGUUACUGAGACUAUGCGAUCCACGGAAACAGGUUUUGCAAGAACCCCCCUUCCAGAAUCAGCAGCCGAUUCCUCAGUAUCAGAUCCUGAGGAAUCUCUUAUUGAUGAUGAUGUGCCUUAUUUUUCUGAUGUAGAAGCUAUGAUACUUGAUAUGGACUUAGAUCCAUAUGAUCAAGACUCCCACAUUAGCAGGCAAGUUCCUAGUUAUCAGUACGAUGACACUAAGAGAACAAUCAUAAGGUUGGAACAAGGUGCUCGUUCCUGCUUGCAAAGGGCCAUGACAUCUCAAGGAGCUCUAGCUAUCUUAUAUGGCCGCCAUUUGAGGCAUUACAUCAGGAAGCCUGAGGUUUUACUUGGAAGAUCAACUGAUGAUGUUGAUGUUGACAUUGAUCUAAGAAAAGAAGGACGAGCUAAUAAAAUAUCUAGGCGGCAGGGCACCAUUUAUUGUUGUUUUGGAUGUAUUGCAAUCUCAACUGGCAUUUCCAUUUAUAUCUGCUUAGGCUAUCAUCAAGAUGGAAGCUGAUGGAUCUUUCUUUAUAAGAAAUCUUGGUAAGAGUUCACUAUCAGUGAAUGGCACAACAGUAGCAACUGGGCAGUUGCUGAACCUUAGUUCCAGUUGUUUGAUUGAGAUAAAGGGAAUGAGUUUUGUGUUUGAGAUCAACCAAGGAUAUGUGAGGAAGCACUUGGGUAGUUUUUGUGUGAGAAACAAAGGAAAGACGGGCAAGUCUGACUGGUCGGCUGAGGACGAAUCAUGAGCUUGUGAGUGCUGCUAAACAAGGUCGGUUCCUUAUAACCCUUUACUGGAUACGUCGAGCCUGUGCAUGUAUAAGUUAAGUUGCUUCGCUUUACGAUGUGUAAAUGUAGAUAUUAGCUGGUUUUAGCGCAUAUAUGCAAUGAUCUCUAUAUACCACGUACAGCUUCCUCUUGUUAUAUAGCAUAUCGAUCUUGAUGUACUAUAUCUGUAGUUUUACAGUACUAAAAUUCGUCAGGUUCUUUUUCUUUUUCUCAA
RNA transcript from Sesamum indicum (sesame), 3415 nucleotides. RefSeq lists it as uncharacterized. The record is from RefSeq and is a predicted model, not a curated record. Lineage: Eukaryota; Viridiplantae; Streptophyta; Magnoliopsida; Lamiales; Pedaliaceae.